GUCAGUAUGGUAUAAGUGGUUUGAGUGUUAGAUUGUGACUUUGGAGAUCAGGGUUCAAAUCCCUGCUUUGUAA
Non-coding RNA from Phrynosoma platyrhinos (Desert horned lizard), 73 nucleotides. NCBI's taxonomy places the organism in Eukaryota, Metazoa, Chordata, Lepidosauria, Squamata, Phrynosomatidae. The record is from the annotation of a GenBank genome assembly.